Molecule: non-coding RNA, 1782 nt
Organism: Lolium perenne
Lineage: Eukaryota; Viridiplantae; Streptophyta; Magnoliopsida; Poales; Poaceae
Source: RefSeq, a predicted model, not a curated record
UUUUUCAAUUCUCGACCUUUUAACGUAUAUAAUCUUCAACCGGUUAGUGCCAAAUAGUUUAAGUGAUCUCAUGUCAGUGAGCAGUGUGAUCGAAGACUGGGUCAGAUUUAUCCCAGUCAAGUGUUUCUAUAAUUUUCUUUCAUAGUUUACAUUUCUGCUACAAGGUUAUGGCAUGCAGGAAGUAUGAGGAUUGUGAUAAAUUAAUUAUUACAUGACAACAUGUUCUCACAAUCUUUUAAGAAAUAAUGUAGGAGACUUUAUUUUGAAAGGAUAUUUUAGUUUGGUUGUAUCAACUAAAUAAAGAAUAAGAAGUAAUUUAACUAAUUGACAUUGGGAAUAAUAAAUUUGCUUUCAUGUGGAGAAACUAAAUUAGUUUAUGCAUAGGUGUUCACUAUGUCUCUUUUCCUCCUUAUCUAUGUAUAUGUCUGUUUUUUUUGCUUUCGGAUGACAUGUGGACUGAAAUAUUCAUAAAUGCAUGGACGAUUUAGCCCCACCGUCCAUUCUUUCUCAAAUUUUAUGUCAUUAAUUCCUUAUUAUUUUCCUUCUUUCCGUCACGAUCUGUUCUCAUUUGUUUUUUCCGUGGUGUUGUCCUUUCACGAUGUCUUUGUCGUUCUGUUGGUACAUGUUUCACAUCUUAAUUUUCUUGCUGAUUCUGUUUGAGUUUUAUUUGUAGGUGCAUUCAUUUAUUAUCCUCGCAUUGCCUUAUUCUUUUGACUUGCUCUUCAUGUCGCUGGUGGUGUUGCAGUUUCAAUAGCUCCAAGGGCAGCUGGAUUAGCAAGGUCUAAGGAACAAAUGUGAAGAUUUUGCCAGUUAAGGAUGUAUCACACUAAGGUUAUUAGCAGAAAGUUCUCCGUGAAUUGCACGCAUAUGGGAAUAUAGGGAUCAAGAUGCGGCAAAACUCAUCAGAGUUGGACUGCUGUUGUUGACCUAAGGUUCUUCUACCUCAUGGACUUCACGGUGAGAGAUUCGUGAUCAACAAAGCCUGUGAGAGCAUGAAACAAAAACUUCUCAGACUUUCACAGCUUCCAUCUCAUUCAGAAUGUUGAUUACCUAGCUUCAUGCUUCAGGGUCUACUUCCAUAUGACAUGUCGCUGCUUGGUCCAGUAAUAUUGUUGCUACCCACAUUUGGUUCAUCAUUUUGUUACCCGCAAACUGGCUGCCAGGUCUUCCAGUAUUCUUAUUGCCAAGAAUCUGUACCUUCCUGGCAUUGUGCCUUUUUCCUACGACAUGGGUGCCCAAGUUGAAUUCAGUUUCUAAGUCAUCUAAGAAGAGGUACAUCUACCACUGCACUGCAUCAUGCCAAAGUUAAACACAUUGGCCACCUGUGCUAAGAAUGUGCUUAGAAUUUAUCAAUUGACAUUCUUCUCUUGCUAUUUAUUGAUUCCAUGUAGUGCAAUUGAAAAAAAAAGAGGAACUAUUCACAUCUGACAGAGAUCCCAGACUCACAAGGUAUACAUGCAGUACAAGAGUUAGUUAAACAAACCAUGCAUUGUCAUAGGACAAAAUCAAGCUUACAACAUAUUCUUGUUAAAAAAAAGCUUACUACAUAUUAUUAUUAGAGUAAAUGCCAGAAGUCAGCCAAUACCGUCAUGUCAAGUUGAACUGUGUGUCCGCAAGAUUCGACAGUACCGACAUCAGUCAUCUCUAUGAUAACUUUGUUAUCUUUUGUCAGCAACUGUAUAGUACUGUUGCCCCACAUGCUACUAUUGGAGAGACAAAUUCCUCCAGUUAUGUAAUAUCUAAGAACCUAUGUGUAAUUAUCUAAGGCACUCUUUACCUGUA